Molecule: non-coding RNA, 78 nt
Organism: Potamilus streckersoni
Lineage: Eukaryota; Metazoa; Mollusca; Bivalvia; Unionida; Unionidae
Source: the annotation of a GenBank genome assembly
GAUCUGGUGGCUUAGUACUUGAGCGUCCGCCUCGAAUGCGGGAGGUCGCGGUUUCGAACCCCAGCCGAGUGACUUUCA